GACGAAUGUGUGAGCAAACCCAGCAUAUGUGGACAGCACGGAGUGUGUACAAACACAGUUGGGAACUACACAUGUGAUUGUGAGGAAGGGUUUACGUCAGGAGAGGACCACGGACAAGGUUGUGUUGCAGAUAAGCCAGACACGUCUCACGAAUCUCCACAACUGCUACUUAUUGGACUAACUUCCGGUGUAGGCGGCGCUGGGCUGUUGACAGUAAUUGUCGUGGUUGUAUGUAUUUUUUUUAGAAAGAAGAAACAGCAGAGCAGUCACAGUUCGGCGGAAUUAGAAGAUCAGCCGAGGGAGGUUUCAGGUGUUCCCGGUGACGCUACGAAUCCUUCCCCCGAGCAUGUCAUGACCGAUUCUUCCGGUCCAGUUCAGGACGCCUGCACUCAGCGUAGUGAAACAUUUAGAUCCAACGGCUACUCAUUAGAAAACCGGUACAUGUAUGAGAUUGUGGACGAAGAUGGUUUAUCAAGAAAUGGCACUCGCGAGAAGGAUGGAUUGCCAGACUUAUAUUCAAAUCACUCUAUUCCUGAAAACAAAAUAAUACAAAACGAGUUAAAAAUAAUAAACCAAAGUGGACAUAUGAAGGACAAUGAUUACAAUACUCUAUAUGGCUUAAACUGUGGAUCUACCAAUGGGAAUGUAACAAUUAUUCAGCCCGUGUCGACCGGAAGUGUUGACUUGAAAGCUGAUGACGUUGUUAAUAAACGGGAAAAUGAUUGCGAAUAUGACCACUUGAAGUUAGAAACAGUUUGAACGAAUGCAAAAACACCAGAAAUCUAUCUUUGAAAUCCUGCAACAUGGGCCAGCUUUUUGUCUAGUAUACUUGACAAAUACGUAAGCUGUGUGAAAAAUUUUAACAUUUUAAAAUUGUCAUUACUAUUUUACCAUCUUUAUAAAUCAUAUAUUUCCUGUUACUUAU
Liolophura sinensis is the source of this 925-nucleotide long non-coding RNA. RefSeq lists it as uncharacterized. The record is from RefSeq and is a predicted model, not a curated record. The transcript has 3 exons. Lineage: Eukaryota; Metazoa; Mollusca; Polyplacophora; Chitonida; Chitonidae.